RNAcentral lists this ribosomal RNA (440 nucleotides) under uncultured bacterium. RNAcentral's name for it is "partial 16S ribosomal RNA". It matches the Rfam family "Bacterial small subunit ribosomal RNA", at positions 338 to 795 of the family's 1533-position model. The record is from RNAcentral.
CCUACGGGCGGCAGCAGUGGGGGAUAUUGCACAAUGGGGGAAACCCUGAUGCAGCGACGCCGCGUGGGUGAAGAAGCGCCUCGGCGCGUAAAGCCCUGUCAGCAGGGAAGAAAAUGACGGUACCUGAAGAAGAAGCCCCGGCUAACUACGUGCCAGCAGCCGCGGUAAUACGUAGGGGGCAAGCGUUAUCCGGAUUUACUGGGUGUAAUGGGGGCGCAGACGGCGAGGCAAGCCAGGAGUGAAAGCCCGGGGCCCAACCCCGGGACUGCUCUUGGAACUGCGUGGCUAGAGUGCAGGAGGGGCAGGCGGAAUUCCUGGUGUAGCGGUGAAAUGCGUAGAUAUAAGGAAGAACACCAGUGGCGAAGGCGGAUGACUGGACGGCAACUGACGGUGAGGCGCGAAAGCGUGGGGAGCAAACAGGAUUAGAUACCCGGGUAGUC